Molecule: unclassified non-coding RNA, 267 nt
Filed under: Hevea brasiliensis (rubber tree)
Lineage: Eukaryota; Viridiplantae; Streptophyta; Magnoliopsida; Malpighiales; Euphorbiaceae
Source: RNAcentral
UGAGUCAUUAUAAGGCGCUCAAAGCUCGUAAUAAGUCUAAUUAUUCCUAGCCUAACCAUAAGACUCAUAACUAUAGUCCAAUUUCAAAAAAAUAAAUAGACAAAAUCAGGCCGUAAAUUGAACUAUCCAACAGGGAGUUUUAGCUCACUGGACCUGUAAACACAAAAUAACUCAAUUUGGAUAGCUUAGCUCACCCUCAUAAUUCUCAUAUAGAUAAAUAAUCUAAUAGCAGUGCAGCUCCCUCAUCCAAACACAAUCACAUAAAAG